This 73-nucleotide transfer RNA is filed under the name Mycobacteroides abscessus. Its description in RNAcentral is "tRNA-Ala". It matches the Rfam family "tRNA". From Rfam's summary of the family: Transfer RNA (tRNA) molecules are approximately 80 nucleotides in length. Their secondary structure includes four short double-helical elements and three loops (D, anti-codon, and T loops). Lineage: Bacteria; Bacillati; Actinomycetota; Actinomycetes; Mycobacteriales; Mycobacteriaceae. The record is from RNAcentral. RNAcentral also lists the same sequence under 2 other names.
GGGGGCUUAGCUCAUCUGGUAGAGCGCCUGCCUUGCAAGCAGGAGGUGGCGGGUUCAAGCCCCGUAGCUUCCA